CCGCGCACGCGCAGUUUUUUGCAGUUCCGGAAGCGGAUCGUGUUGGGUGCAGGUGACGCCGCCGAGCGAAGAACCCUUAAAGAAGAGGAAGAGGAAAGAAAGACAAGUCAGGCAUGGCUCUCACCCAGGGACAGGUGACAUUCAGGGAUGUGGCUAUAGAAUUCUCUCAGGAGGAGUGGACAUGCCUGGACCCCGCUCAGAGGACUUUGUACAGGGACGUGAUGUUGGAGAAUUAUAGGAACCUGGCCUCCCUGGGUGAGGAUGACUUUCUUCCAGAAGUCAGGAUCUGCCCCUGUGUAUCUUUUCAUUUUCCAUGUGGGUCUCCUGGGAGCUCCUGCAUUGCUUGGCUGAGACUGAAGCUGUGUUGACUGAAAAAUGAAAAUCUCCAUAAUGUGGAAACUGGAUUUUAAUUUUCCUCUUCCUGAUGUCACUGGAGGGUUUCAGGACUUUUAAAAUAUCCAAUUCCCUGUUUUCUAUCCCCAUGCUUUGAUUCAGUGGUUUUGGGAUGAGAGCUAUAUAUUUGCAUAUUAUAGUGUUUCCUAACAAUUUAUAAAGAAGCAUUUAGUGGAUGAAUUUUUGAAGUGUUUUUUUAGAUACAGCUGUA
RNAcentral lists this small RNA (604 nucleotides) under Pan troglodytes (chimpanzee). RNAcentral's name for it is "retained intron". Lineage: Eukaryota; Metazoa; Chordata; Mammalia; Primates; Hominidae. The record is from RNAcentral.